This 299-nucleotide ribosomal RNA is filed under the name uncultured eukaryote. Its description in RNAcentral is "partial 18S ribosomal RNA". It matches the Rfam family "Eukaryotic small subunit ribosomal RNA", at positions 1470 to 1796 of the family's 1831-position model. The record is from RNAcentral.
CCCUUAGAUGUUCUGGGCCGCACGCGUGCUACACUGAGUGGAUCAGCGGGUCAGGUUGCGCGAAAGUGUUUCCUAAUCUUUAAAUCCGCUCGUGAUGGGGAUUGACGGUUGCAAUUUUCCGUCAUGAACGAGGAAUACCUUGUAAGCGCGGGUCAUCAUCCCGCGCUGAAUACGUCCCUGCCCUUUGUACACACCGCCCGUCGCUCCUACCGAUUGAGCGUUUUGGUGAGCACUCUGGAGUGCAGCAAUGCAUAAAUGAAUGCAAACCUGAGCGUUUAGAGGAAGGAUAAGUCGUAACA